GAUGAACGCUGGCGGCGUGCCUAAUACAUGCAAGUCGAGCGAACAGACGAGGAGCUUGCUCCUCUGACGUUAGCGGCGGACGGGUGAGUAACACGUGGAUAACCUACCUAUAAGACUGGGAUAACUUCGGGAAACCGGAGCUAAUACCGGAUAAUAUAUUGAACCGCAUGGUUCAAUAGUGAAAGACGGUUUUGCCGUCACUUAUAGAUGGAUCCGCGCCGCAUUAGCUAGUUGGUAAGGUAACGGCUUACCAAGGCAACGAUGCGUAGCCGACCUGAGAGGGUGAUAGGCCACACUGGAACUGAGACACGGUCCAGACUCCUACGGGAGGCAGCAGUAGGGAAUCUGCCGCAAUGGGCGAAAGCCUGACGGAGCAACGCCGCGUGAGUGAUGAAGGUCUUCGGAUCGUAAAACUCUGUUAUUAGGGAAGAACAAAUGUGUAAGUAACUAUGCACGUCUUGACGGUACCUAAUCAGAAAGCCACGGCUAACUACGUG
RNAcentral lists this ribosomal RNA (497 nucleotides) under uncultured bacterium. RNAcentral's name for it is "partial 16S ribosomal RNA". It matches the Rfam family "Bacterial small subunit ribosomal RNA", at positions 28 to 507 of the family's 1533-position model. The record is from RNAcentral.